Molecule: long non-coding RNA, 583 nt
Organism: Eleginops maclovinus (Patagonian blennie)
Lineage: Eukaryota; Metazoa; Chordata; Actinopteri; Perciformes; Eleginopidae
Exons: 4
Source: RefSeq, a predicted model, not a curated record
UUGACAGCAGCUGUCAGGUUGAAAUCCCGGUGUUACACUUACCGAAAGUUAACAAACGUCAUCUGGAGCCACGUUCAGUAAUGGGGAGACGGCGAUAUGGAGGAGCGAGGACCACGGCAGCAUUUACCGGACCCAAAGUGACAUUACAGGUGUGAUUCUGUGCAUGGAUCUGCAAAGAGAUCAAGGACUGCAUCACCUGGCAUUAGAGAUGUCGGACAGUCAUCAGUGCGGGGUAAUCCUCACAGGAAUCUCCCUUCAUGUCGGGACUUCAGGGGGGAGACGGAUUAUCCCUGUACGACUUCAACACGUCUUGUAGGAACGCAACAGCUCCCGCAGUCGAACUCCACUAUCAGCGCAAAGCUUUUGAUGGAACCUGGAGCUUGUUUGACAAAGUGAAAUGUAUCAUCCCUCCAUGUAUCUGCACCAGAUUCUGACACGGAACAGAGAAACAUCUGAAGACCUGCACAGAAAGAGUUGUAAAUGUGCGAGAAUGAUAUUAAUCAUGUAGUGUGUUUGCAAUGAAACAAACUAGACAUGAUGUAAUAUAAAUCAGGACAAUAAACACCACAUGGAUGAACAGACA